GCAAGAUACUAGGAUUUACUGGGGGUAGGACCUCUUGUAAGUCCGCACGGGUAGGUGCCACCGCCCUAUCUAUUUCUGCCGUGAAGCAGUAAUGCGUUUCGGUUCGAAGGGUGGGGCAGCCGUUGUAACUAUACUGAGACCUUAACUCAUAUCUCAAAGGCAUUUACGUUGUCUAUGUGCUUAUUUAUUGUGUUUAAUGUAUGUUUUAUUAUAUCGACGCUUGAAAGGUAAACGUGACUAAGCGACAAUAACUGCUUUGUACAUAAAUGAUAGGCAAUAACCAUAUUCGAUGCGCAAAAAAUAUAUAUUUCUAGGUUUAUUGUAAUAAUUUCAAUCCUACAGCUACUAGCUAGAUUCUACUACAGCUAGAUUCGUUAAAAUAAAUUUUGUUUUCAGGUAUUUUAACUUUAAAUUUUAUUAGUCUACUGUAAAGUUCACGCAUUGUCGCUUAGUCACGUUUGCCUUUCAAGCGUCGAUAUGUUUCAUUGUUUAUGGGCUCCGGUAACCACUUAAGGGCUUCGACCACCUACCUAUGCAAUAAAUAAAAAAAAUCGCAAAUAUUAAUAACAAAUUAAAAUACAACAACACUGCCAAGAAAAAAAAAAGAGAUGAUGAAGGAUUCCAACAAUCCAAGGAUUACAUUCAAAUCCCUUCAGAUAUACAUAAGAUAUGGUGUAUUAAAGAAACCCUCACACACGCACAGACUCUCAAAAGCAUUACCCUUCUUUUUCGGCGGUCGGGUUAAGAGAGUACAUCUUCGGUCAUCGACCCUCGCCACCGACGCACAUAGUAAAAAAUUAGUUUUAUUAGGCGGUGACACUAAGUAAUUUUUUCCGAUACCUAUUAGCUGUUAGAUUAAGGGGACUAUUCUGAUAGGUGAGCUCACAGGGCUCAGUCUAGGAGACAUAACACUAGCCCUAGCAAGAGCAGUGCUUCGCAGAAUCUACUACCGAAUCGGAAACGUGACCAACUGAGAAGAUCCGACGAGAAACUCAGUGUGUUGAGUCCAUGGGUAGUACUAAAUAAUAUAUCGACCGGCCAUAUGAUACAUACUAAUAAGGAUCAAUUGUGUAAGUCUAGUGGCGACACGAUCGAAUGACUUAAUGGGUAUUGGGUCAAGGAUUCUAGUCUGGUCACUUAAAAGUUUUUAUUGUUGGAUGUUUUUUUUAACGACAAGGCGAAGGCAAACGGUGUCUUACUGACUAGAGAUACUUCAUGAAGGCUCUUGGAGUAACCGGCCCCCUGAUCACGUAAAAAUUUGCGACAGCCACAAUUUUGCAGAUGUUGUGCAGACGCGUCGCGACCGAUCGCAAAACGUCAAAUUAUUUCGUAUCACGUACCGCGAUUGUUCGCUUACCGCUUACUGCAGUUUUCUGUCAUACAACUAGCGCCAGUCGCAAUCGGGUAGCAAUAAUUGGCACUAAAAAGCCACAUUACUUUUUUUUUUUUGCUGAACAAACCGGCAAAUGAUUUUAUAAAAGCGCGUUACAUAUUAUUAUAAACAUUUCAAAAUGUUUAAGUGGAAUUCACGUUUGAAACGCCAAGUGAGAGCUGCUAAUUCUGUUCUUUUCGAUGAAGCGUUACUAAAAAUAAGUGAUCUAAUAAUAAUUUUUCCUUUAUUUUGAAUGAUAGCUAUAAAAAUGUAAUUGUGUCAUGUCAAACACUGAUAACAUUUGUUUUUGUAAUCGUUUGAUAAUUUGUAAUCAGAUAGUUGUUUACGUUAUGAACCUAUUUUAAAAAAGAAUGGAUUAAAAUUAUAGCCUAAUUUAUUAAUUUCAUUAUCAAUUAAGUAAGUACAUAAGCUCACAACCCAUCUAGUGUUAAGUGGUAUAGACCUCACAACGUGAAUGCCGCCCCCACCUUUAGAAACGAGGUCUGAGUUUCAACUGUAUACCAAAACGGCUGCCCCAUUCUUCAAAUUGCAACGCAUUACUGCUUCGCGGUAGAAAUGGGCGGAAUGGUGGUCUUGCGGGUUAAUCAAACGCCCUACCACCAACGAUUUCUUAAAGAAUAUUUGCUAAUUUGAUUUUAAAUAAAAGAUGAAUGAAUCCUUAAUCAUGGAAGUCUUCCAUGUACCUAUAUAUGUCAAAUACGUGUUUCAUUGGAUUUAUUGAUAUCUGCCUGCGGGAUUCUAACACUGGUUUAGUCGCAUCUUUAUUAGAAAGUCGGCCGUCUCUACUACACCGCUUAGGCCACGACGAUUUCAAAUUAAAUAGUAAAUUCUAGAAUAAAUGAGUUAGUUUUAUGGUUUUAUCAAUAAUAACGUGUAACUGUGUAACAAAUCCAUCUCACACCGACAUGAGGCCGACAACGCUAGAACAACCAGUCGAUGAUAUUCUAGGCGAGAUGCUGCUAUUCUUUAUCAAGUAAUAGAUAGUGGAUUUGUUUGACUUGGAAAGAGUAGGCUUUGAUUUGAAUACCAGAAAUAUAGUGCACUCUUUCACAGCUUGAAGGGAAAUAAAAGCUGUGCAGACUAUUCAAAAUAAUGUUCACCCAAGGUCAUGGGCAAUAUGACGUGAAUAGGAAACUGCAUGUCAGACAUUAACUUAAUGUUCUAUAUUAUUUUUAAACAAACGAAUCUCAUAUUUUAAGACAAUAAAUAAGUAUUUAUUUGUAUAAUUAGCCCAGUUUUUCGUCGACGAAGCCAUCUUAAGAGAAGCUUCAUUGCAAAUAUCAGGCCAAUAUUUAACUAUAGCGGACAACAAACAAGAGUAGACCCAUCGUGAGCUGUAGUUGUAGAAAGAGGAGAAAAUGGAAACUAAGGCGAACCACUGGCUCAUGCAGCUUUCAUUUCAGCAGAGGCUGCUCGUACGCAGGCAGAGGCCGCGCAUCUUCCAGCUGAGAUAUUUGUAUCUCAGUUAAAAAAAUUCAAGGAAUUGACCAAUAUCGGCAAAAACCUUGUUUAAAAUAAUAAGUUCAAUUUUGUUCCGUCCGUAAUAGUUUAUAUUACCAUUUCCGUGUGAGUCCGUAAUAGUUUAUAUUACCAUAAAAACGAAAUAGCGCUUGUUACAAUAGUCAAGCAAAUCCAAAUAUGUACGUUUUACUUUAGGCUGGUACUACAGUAAAUUUUAUGACACUAAUGAGCAUAUUUUACGCUAAUAAAACUACUCUCAACUUAGCAUUUCAAAA
Bombyx mori (domestic silkworm) is the source of this 3129-nucleotide long non-coding RNA. RefSeq lists it as uncharacterized. The transcript has 2 exons. The record is from RefSeq and is a predicted model, not a curated record. NCBI's taxonomy places the organism in Eukaryota, Metazoa, Arthropoda, Insecta, Lepidoptera, Bombycidae.